Small nucleolar RNA from Otolemur garnettii (small-eared galago), 138 nucleotides. Lineage: Eukaryota; Metazoa; Chordata; Mammalia; Primates; Galagidae. The record is from Ensembl.
GUUGAGGUCUAUCCCAUUGGGGCUUUUUCUGUAGCCACACAUUGUUGGAAAUGCCUCAUACUCAUAGCAUAAUGUUGUGGUUUUGCUUUACCCACAGGACUAUUUGUUAGGUCUGUGGGAAAGAACUAUAAAACAAUU